GAUGAACGCUGGCGGCGUGCCUAAUACAUGCAAGUCGAGCGAACAGACGAGGAGCUUGCUCCUCUGACGUUAGCGGCGGACGGGUGAGUAACACGUGGAUAACCUACCUAUAAGACUGGGAUAACUUCGGGAAACCGGAGCUAAUACCGGAUCAUAUAUUGAACCGCAUGGUUCAAUAGUGAAAGACGGUUUUGCUGUCACUUAUAGAUGGAUCCGCGCCGCAUUAGCUAGUUGGUAAGGUAACGGCUUACCAAGGCAACGAUGCGUAGCCGACCUGAGAGGGUGAUCGGCCACACUGGAACUGAGACACGGUCCAGACUCCUACGGGAGGCAGCAGUAGGGAAUCUUCCACAAUGGGCGAAAGCCUGACGGAGCAACGCCGCGUGAGUGAUGAAGGUCUUCGGAUCGUAAAGCUCUGUUAUUAGGGAAGAACAAAUGUGUAAGUAACUAUGCACGUCUUGACGGUACCUAAUCAGAAAGCCACGGCUAACUACGUG
RNAcentral lists this ribosomal RNA (497 nucleotides) under uncultured bacterium. RNAcentral describes it as "partial 16S ribosomal RNA". It matches the Rfam family "Bacterial small subunit ribosomal RNA", at positions 28 to 507 of the family's 1533-position model. The record is from RNAcentral.